UACGUAGGGUGCAAGCGUUGUCCGGAAUUAUUGGGCGUAAAGAGCUCGUAGGCGGUCCAGCAAGUCGGGUGUGAAAGCCCUCGGCUUAACCGAGGAAGUGCAUUCGAAACUACUGGACUUGAGUACUGAAGAGGAUCGCGGAAUUCCCGGUGUAGAGGUGAAAUUCGUAGAUAUCGGGAGGAACACCAGUGGCGAAGGCGGCGAUCUGGGCAGAUACUGACGCUGAGACGCGAAAGCGUGGGGAGCAAACAGG
Molecule: ribosomal RNA, 253 nt
Filed under: uncultured bacterium
Lineage: Bacteria
Description: partial 16S ribosomal RNA
Rfam family: Bacterial small subunit ribosomal RNA
Source: RNAcentral